GACGAACGCUGGCGGCGUGCUUAACACAUGCAAGUCGAACGCUGAAGCUCAGCUUGCUGGGUGGAUGAGUGGCGAACGGGUGAGUAACACGUGGGUAACCUGCCCUCUUCUUUGGGAUAACGCCCGGAAACGGGUGCUAAUACUGGAUAUUCACUGAUUCUCGCAUGGGGGUUGGUGGAAAGGUUUUUUCUGGUGGGGGAUGGGCUCGCGGCCUAUCAGCUUGUUGGUGGGGUGAUGGCCUACCAAGGCUUUGACGGGUAGCCGGCCUGAGAGGGUGACCGGUCACAUUGGGACUGAGAUACGGCCCAGACUCCUACGGGAGGCAGCAGUGGGGAAUAUUGCACAAUGGGCGAAAGCCUGAUGCAGCGACGCCGCGUGAGGGAUGGAGGCCUUCGGGUUGUAAACCUCUUUCGCUCAUGGUCAAGCCGCAGCUUGGGGUUGUGGUGAGGGUAGUGGGUAAAGAAGCGCCGGCUAACUACGUG
This 482-nucleotide ribosomal RNA is filed under the name uncultured bacterium. RNAcentral's name for it is "partial 16S ribosomal RNA". It matches the Rfam family "Bacterial small subunit ribosomal RNA", at positions 28 to 507 of the family's 1533-position model. The record is from RNAcentral.